This 99-nucleotide ribosomal RNA is filed under the name uncultured bacterium. Its description in RNAcentral is "partial 16S ribosomal RNA". It matches the Rfam family "Bacterial small subunit ribosomal RNA", at positions 1384 to 1482 of the family's 1533-position model. The record is from RNAcentral.
UAUACACCGCCCGUCACACCAUGGAAGUUGGCUGCACCAGAAGUAGGUAGUCUAACCGCAAGGGGGACGCUUACCACGGUGUGGUCAAUGACUGGGGUG